Molecule: transfer RNA, 69 nt
Filed under: Heterocephalus glaber (naked mole-rat)
Lineage: Eukaryota; Metazoa; Chordata; Mammalia; Rodentia; Bathyergidae
Rfam family: tRNA
About the family: Transfer RNA (tRNA) molecules are approximately 80 nucleotides in length. Their secondary structure includes four short double-helical elements and three loops (D, anti-codon, and T loops).
Source: Rfam by way of RNAcentral
GGGGGUGUAGCUCAGUGGUAAAGUGCAUGCAUAACUGUGAGGCCCUGGGUUCAAUCCCUAGUACUGCCA